UACGUAGGGUGCAAGCGUUGUCCGGCAUUAUUGGGCGUAAAGAGCUUGUAGGCGGUUUGUCGCGUCUGCUGUGAAAUUUUGGGGCUCAACCCCGAACUUGCAGUGGGUACGGGCAGACUAGAGUGUGGUAGGGGAGACUGGAAUUCCUGGUGUAGCGGUGAAAUGCGCAGAUAUCAGGAGGAACACCGAUGGCGAAGGCAGGUCUCUGGGCCACUACUGACGCUGAGAAGCGAAAGCAUGGGGAGCGAACCGG
Molecule: ribosomal RNA, 253 nt
Filed under: uncultured bacterium
Lineage: Bacteria
Description: partial 16S ribosomal RNA
Rfam family: Bacterial small subunit ribosomal RNA
Source: RNAcentral